RNAcentral lists this unclassified non-coding RNA (373 nucleotides) under uncultured bacterium. RNAcentral describes it as "contains 16S-23S intergenic spacer region". The record is from RNAcentral.
UCCGGUUUGUCACCGGCAGUCUCCCAUGAGUUCCCAACUAAAUGAUGGCAACUAGGGACAAGGGUUGCGCUCGUUGCGGGACUUAACCCAACAUCUCACGGCACGAGCUGACGACAGCCAUGCACCACCUGUGCAGGCUCCGAAGAGCACCCGCUUUCACGGGUUUCACCCUGCAUGUCAAGCCCAGGUAAGGUUCUUCGCGUCGCAUCGAAUUAAACCACAUGCUCCACCGCUUGUGCGGGCCCCCGUCAAUUCCUUUGAGUUUCAGCCUUGCGGCCGUACUCCCCAGGCGGGGCACUUAAUGCGUUAGCGCCGGCACUCAGGGGGUCGCUCCCCCAAGCACCUAGUGCCCAUCGUUUACGGCGUGGACUAC